This 890-nucleotide ribosomal RNA is filed under the name uncultured Pseudomonadota bacterium. RNAcentral describes it as "bacterial SSU rRNA". It matches the Rfam family "Bacterial small subunit ribosomal RNA", at positions 9 to 873 of the family's 1533-position model. Lineage: Bacteria; Pseudomonadati; Pseudomonadota. The record is from RNAcentral.
AGAGUUUGAUCCUGGCUCAGAUGAACGUUGGCGGCGUGUCUAAGGCAUGCAAGUCGAGCGACGUACCUACCUUCGGGUAGAUUACGAGCGGCAGACGGGAGAGUAACACAUUGGUAACCUACCUCCGAGACGGGAAUAGCUACGGGAGACCGUAGAUAACGCCCGAUAGUCAUGAGGAGACACAAAGUCUUCUUUUGUAAAUAAUUUAUUGCUCGGAGAGGGGCCUAUGUCUGAUUAGCUUGUUGGUGAGGUAAUAGCUCACCAAGGCUUCGAUCAGUACCGGGCGUGAGAGCGUGACCCGGCUCACUGGGACUGAGACACUGCCCAGACUCCUACGGGAGGCUGCAGUCAAGAAUAUUCCACAAUGCACGAAAGUGUGAUGGAGCGACGCCGCGUGCAGGAAGACGCCCUUCGGGGUGUAAACUGCUUUUAUGUGGGAAGAAUUUGUGCGGUACCACAUAAAAGAGGUUGCUAACUCUGUGCCAGCACAGCCGGUAAUACAAGAGACCUCAAAACGUUAUCCGGAUUUCAUUGGGCGUAAAGCGUCCGCAAGGUUGUUUUUUAAGUGGUGGUCAAAUUUUCGGGCUUAACUCGGAAACUGCCACCAAUACUGGAAAACUUGAGGCUGGGAGAGGCACACGGAACUGUCCGGUGUAGUAGUAAAAUGCGUUGAUAUCGACAGGAACACCAAAGGCGAAGGCAGUGUGCUAGAACAGUCCUGACACUCAUGGACGAAAGCGUGGGGAGCGAAUGGGAUUAGAUACCCCAGUAGUCCACGCUGUAAACGGAUGUCUACUAGGUAUUGGCAGUAUCGACCCUGUCAGUGCCGUUCAAAAAAGCUAACGCGUUAAGUAGACCGCCUAAAAGUCGGCUGGCCCCAAAAAGGGGGA